GUCUAUGGCCAUAACACCCUGAACACACCCGAUCUCGUCUGAUCUCGGAAGCUAAGCAGGGUCGGGCCUGGUUAGUACUUGGAUGGGAGAAAAGAUACCCUCUGCA
This 106-nucleotide ribosomal RNA is filed under the name Erinaceus europaeus (western European hedgehog). Lineage: Eukaryota; Metazoa; Chordata; Mammalia; Eulipotyphla; Erinaceidae. The record is from RNAcentral.